GAGUUUGAUCAUGGCUCAGGAUGAACGCUGGCGGCGUGCCUAAUACAUGCAAGUCGAGCGAGAAUCUGAACGACGGAGACUUCGGUCAAAGGAAUUCAGAGGAAAGCGGCGGACGGGUGAGUAACGCGUGGGCAACCUGCCCCAUACAGAGGGAUAGCAGUUGGAAACGACUAUUAAUACCUCAUACUCCGGUUUUAUCGCAUGAUAGAACCGGGAAAGAUUUAUCGGUAUGGGAUGGGCCCGCGUCUGAUUAGCUAGUUGGUGAGGUAACGGCUCACCAAGGCGACGAUCAGUAGCCAACCUUAGAGGGUGAUUGGCCACACUGGAACUGAGACACGGUCCAGACUCCUACGGGAGGCAGCAGUAGGGAAUAUUGGGCAAUGGGGGCAACCCUGACCCAGCAACGCCGCGUGAACGAUGAAAAUCUUCGGAUUGUAAAGUUCUUUUCUUGAGGAAGAAGAAAGUGACGUACUCAAGGAAU
RNAcentral lists this ribosomal RNA (481 nucleotides) under Peptostreptococcaceae bacterium canine oral taxon 065. RNAcentral describes it as "bacterial SSU rRNA". It matches the Rfam family "Bacterial small subunit ribosomal RNA", at positions 9 to 487 of the family's 1533-position model. The record is from RNAcentral. Lineage: Bacteria; Bacillati; Bacillota; Clostridia; Peptostreptococcales; Peptostreptococcaceae.